Long non-coding RNA from Solea senegalensis (Senegalese sole), 871 nucleotides. RefSeq lists it as uncharacterized. Lineage: Eukaryota; Metazoa; Chordata; Actinopteri; Pleuronectiformes; Soleidae. The transcript has 2 exons. The record is from RefSeq and is a predicted model, not a curated record.
UGUCUCCACUGCCCCCUACUGUCUGUUAGCGGAAAACCAGCCUUGUAAGAUCAGGGCCGCAGAUCCAGAGUUAAGGCGAAACAAAACACUGUUAGAAAAAUCACUGCAUCACAAAUAAACAAUCCUAUUUUCCUCUCUGAGUUUCUCACCCCAAACGCAACCUUGGCGCCGCCUUCUCUCUCAACACACAAAGCGCCGUUACAUCACGAGAUUCCGUGGAGGCGGAAGUCCGUCUGCAGUGGAGGGUUUACGUGCAGCGGUGUGAGUGCGGGAGAAAGUGUGCGCUACAGGCUUGUACCGAAAAAAGGUUUGAAUUCGAAUCUCGCAGCGUGACCCGGAGCCCGUCCUCAGAAUCAGGAGGUCUCCCUUGAAACGUCCUGUAGCCAGGUACCGGCGACAGGAUCGAGACAGUGAAAGUGUUAUUUCAGACGUUCAUCGUGGCAGAGCGGGGCAGUCUGUUGACCAUAGGUGUCAGAUACUCCGGGGACGCUGGGACAUGUCCCCAGAACUAUUUAUGAUCAACAUCAACCCCGUCCCCCGGGUCCACCGACAACCCCCAAGAUAGGGGGGCGGCCAGUGAGCGGGAGAAGGCACAGCGAGUACAUAUGUCCGCGGCCCCGGGAAGCAGUGAGGUCCGGGAAGUUGGCCUGCCACCUUCGCCGGUUGUGGCGCACCACUGGUGGAGGUAAUGCGCCCGGCAGGGUCUGGCCGGUAGCUGGGGAGAGGUCCCGCGAGUGGAUCCUCCCACACAUUCUCAGUUUUUUUUUUUGUAUGUGUAUGUGUUAUUUUUCCUUUUCCCUAAUAGGAGUGUCAGAGCCACUCAAUACACUGUAAUGCAGUGCAUAUUGUAAAUAAACAUCAAACAGAUGAA